RNAcentral lists this ribosomal RNA (392 nucleotides) under Syncerus caffer (African buffalo). RNAcentral's name for it is "partial 12S ribosomal RNA". It matches the Rfam family "Bacterial small subunit ribosomal RNA", at positions 796 to 1384 of the family's 1533-position model. The record is from RNAcentral. Lineage: Eukaryota; Metazoa; Chordata; Mammalia; Artiodactyla; Bovidae.
UUAGCCCUAAACACAGAUAAUUAUAUCAACAAAAUUAUUCGCCAGGGUACUAUCGGCAACAGCCUAAAACUCAAAGGACUUGGCGGUGCUUUAUAUCCCUCUAGAGGAGCCUGUUCUAUAAUUGAUAAACCCCGAUAAACCUCACCAAUUCUUGCUAAUACAGUCUAUAUACCGCCAUCUUCAGCAAACCCUAAAAAGGUAUAAAAGUAAGCACAAUCACAAUACAUAAAAACGUUAGGUCAAGGUGUAACCUAUGAAAUGGGAAGAAAUGGGCUACAUUUUCUAUAUCAAGAACACCCAAUACGAAAGUUAUUAUGAAAUUAAUAGCCAAAGGAGGAUUUAGCAGUAAACUAAGAAUAGAGUGCUUAGUUGAACCAGGCCAUGAGGCACGC